UUGGCCUCGAAUCAGGUAGGGAUACCCGCUGAACUUAAGCAUAUCAAUAAGCGGAGGAAAAGAAACCAACAGGGAUUGCCUUAGUAACUGCGAGUGAAGCGGCAAGAGCUCAAAUUUGAAAUCUGGCGCCUUUGGCGUCCGAGUUGUAAUUUGGAGAGGCAUCUUCGGGUGCGGCGCCGGCCUAAGUUCCUUGGAACAGGACGUCAUAGAGGGUGAGAAUCCCGUUCUCGGCUGGCUGUCCGCGUCCAUGUGAAGUGUCUUCGACGAGUCGAGUUGUUUGGGAAUGCAGCUCAAAAUGGGUGGUAAACUCCAUCUAAAGCUAAAUACUGGCGAGAGACCGAUAGCGCACAAGUAGAGUGAUCGAAAGAUGAAAAGCACUUUGAAAAGAGAGUUAAAAAGUACGUGAAAUUGUUGAAAGGGAAGCGCUUGAGACCAGACUCGGCGGGAGGUAUUCAUCGUCCCUUCUGGGGCGUGCACUUGCCUCUCGUCGGGCCAGCAUCGGUUGCGGCGGCGGGAUAAAGACCCGGGGAACGUGGCUGCUCUCGGGCAGUGUUAUAGCCCCGGGUGUCAUGCCGCCUGCUGCGACCGAGGACCGCGCUUCGGCUAGGAUGCUGGCACAAUGGUCUUCAGCGACCCGU
This 638-nucleotide ribosomal RNA is filed under the name Desmazierella acicola. RNAcentral's name for it is "eukaryotic LSU rRNA". It matches the Rfam family "Eukaryotic large subunit ribosomal RNA", at positions 1 to 652 of the family's 3401-position model. Lineage: Eukaryota; Fungi; Ascomycota; Pezizomycetes; Pezizales; Sarcoscyphaceae. The record is from RNAcentral.